This is a long non-coding RNA of Rosa rugosa (rugosa rose), 405 nucleotides long. RefSeq lists it as uncharacterized. The transcript is spliced from 2 exons. Lineage: Eukaryota; Viridiplantae; Streptophyta; Magnoliopsida; Rosales; Rosaceae. The record is from RefSeq and is a predicted model, not a curated record.
UUUAAUUCAUGAAGUGAAAGAGCAAACGUGAAAGAAGGAAAGAAGACAAAGAUUUGACUAUGCAAUUGUUGGUUGUGGCAUGUUUGUCCCUUGCAGCCAAAAUGGAGGAGAUUAAUGUCCCAAUCUCCCUUCAUUUACAGGAAUUGACUUCUUGGAAUUUAAACAUUAAGAGGUUGCAGCAGCAGUGGCCAUUUCUGUAACAGGAGGAAGCAAAGCAUUAGAUCACACUUAGAAUUCAAUCUCUGUGCUUAUCCAACAAGUGGACUUAGAAGAGUUGCAUGAGUCAUUGAUGUCUUUUGCUUUUGCUCUUAUCAUUUUGGUGUUGAUUACAAAUUUACCCAAUCACAUACAAACAUCAAACAUGAUUACUGCAGACAUUGAUUUUAUUUUUUCUUUUGGUUUUUA